RNAcentral lists this long non-coding RNA (5424 nucleotides) under Homo sapiens (human). RNAcentral describes it as "HSALNT0342019". Lineage: Eukaryota; Metazoa; Chordata; Mammalia; Primates; Hominidae. The record is from RNAcentral.
UUUUUAAAAGUGAACAGGGUCAAAAUAGCCAACAGGGGAAUAUUAAUGGUGGUCACUGAGCUUAAGAAGUCACUUAAGCUACCUGGAAUCACUAAAAUUACUGAUAUGAUUCUGAUAUUUACAAAGAAUCCACAUCUCUCCUAUGGAGAAUUGAUUGAUUGGUCCCAAGUAAAAGAAGCAGAGAGAAUGGGAUGCUUCUCAACUCUUCAUAUCAUCCCUCUUCUCUUCCAAGAAGUGCUUGCUUUGAGUUUUUAUUUAUAUUUAAAAUUUAAAACAAUGAAAUAAUAUAAACUGAGAGAUGCAUGUUUUUGUUCUGAAAAUGCAAAUUUUGGUUCAUACAUGAAAUACUUUUAAUGAAUUUGAACAAUAUUUAAAUAGAAUUAAAACCUGGUAUGUAUAUAUUGCUUCUAUCAUAGAGCUCUCUUUACUUGCAGGGGGCAAAUCUUGAUUCUUUUAAGCAAAUGAAGGUCAUGCCAUUUCCUUUUCUAGUGCUUGUUUUAGAAAUAAGCACAUAAUGCAAUUCUAGCCAAUGUCACUUGAAAGUCUGACGGAGGUACCAGGAAAAAUUCCUCUUUUUUUUUUUUUGGUGGGAGAUAGGGGAAUAUACUAUCUUCUAGUCCUUUAGUUCCUUUUGGGAAUGUCAUAAUUAGUUUGUGCAGACUUCUUGAGGGUAUGGUAUAUUAGUAUGAUAGAGCUAUUUGGAUAUCAGCCCAAAGGAUUGGUAGUUUAGCAAUACAGGGGGAAGAAAAAAGAAUCUUUGGUAGCAUCCUUGGACCACUGAAUCAACCUUCCCUGGGACUUCUCUACCUCUGGGCUUUGGGUUAUAUUUGGACCAUCUGGAGUUAGUUCUUCUGUUUUAGUCUAAAGCAUCCUAAAUGAGAUGUUUCUUAUGCUUCUAAAUAUACUCUUUUUAACCAUGUUCCAUUUUGUGUGGACAUUGUAAGGGUAAUAUAUACAGACUUAAAAAGAAUAUGCCUAUGAAUUAGGAAGCUUUAAGCAAUGGAAACCAUUUUUCAUUCACUGCCAUUCCACUAUGGUAGCAAUUCUUCCUAUGGUAAUUCUGUUUGUUACUUCUCAGUAAUAGGAAGAAUCAUCAGUACAAUUGUGUAAGGUACUUUUAAUGAAUACAUAUCUAUAUUCUCAAACCGUAUGGCAACUUCUGGAAUGCUUUAGAUUUCCAUCCCACCUUCAUAAUCUCUUAAAGAGUCUCCUGUGCCUUACUCACUCAACCUUACAGUAGGUAUUCAUAGUCUGGUAACACUUUUCUUCUAAUUGAUCCAAUGUGGUUUGGUGGUCACAGUUAUUUAUAAUAGUGGUAAUCCUCAUACUACAAGAGUAGGCAAUAUUGUAUUUAACUACCUCACUAUUGAGAAAUCCUUAAUAUAGGGCCAUCAACUUUAGUUGUGAAAUUCCUGUGUCAUGUGAUAUUACUGGGAUCAAUUCUCAUAGGAUGAGAUCUAAGAAUUAAUAAGACUGAAAGGAAACAUUUAGAAUAUGUAAAUGACAGGUUUUUUGUCUUUGCAAUUGUUAAGAAACUAAAACCAGAUUUUAUAUCUAUUUUGAAAGGCUGAAAUGAGUUUUAUAUUAUGACGUCUAUUAACAAUUCAAAGUGUCUAUUUUAAAAUCUUUAACAAUUUCUUAAAAAAUAUCUUGUACUGAAGGAUAAAAAUGGCUCUGUUAUUCAUAUAUGAUUAAGUACUGCAUUUCUCACUUCAAUAAGUGUAAUUCCAUAUAAUUUAUUAUAUAAACCAUCAGAAUAAUAGAAUCCAGUUCUAUUUGUGACAUCUCUGCAGUUAUCACAAUGUAUUUUGAAAACCCAAAGUAACAAUGGGCAUUUCCAUUGAGUGUGUUUCUUUGCCCAUAAAGGAAACAACCAAAUUUACUUCUGGCAGAAACUCAUUUGACACAUUCUAACCAGAAUAUAUUAAAUCAAUUGUUUGCUUCAUGUGGGAUGUUAAAAUGACAUCCCAUUUUAUCCUUCCAUUUUCUUAACGUAAUAAUGAGCACAUUCAAUUCACAAACAUUUCAAUUUGGUUAUGAGCUCACUUCCUCCAUACUACUCCUACCACCUCCACUUCAAGUUUAGCAUAAUCACUCUCUUGAUGAUUUAUGCAAUUUCUAAACAUUAGCAAACAUAACUAACCAAAUAUAAUGUAUUAAUAAGUCUUCAAUUAUUUUUAGAAAGAAUUGCAAUAGCGUUGGCAUUGUCUUACAGAAAUACACCUGAUUUUAAAAGUAGAUUUUUUUUCUGAUUUACCAGACAAGAAUAUCCAAACACCAAACUGUGUAAAUAUUUCAAAACCAUACAUACAAAAGUAUUACCUAAUUUGUAGUGACUUAUCAAGGCAGGGAAGUAGGAACUUAAUAUUCAUUAAGUCAUUUGACAUUCUUAACAAUGUGCAGAAGAUCAUGCUUUGUGCAGAGUUCAAAAUAGAUAACAAAUGCCUUCUUCUGUGGGAAAAACAUGAACAUCAAUGUGUCUAAAGGGCUAUUCAGUACAUGUUUUGUAUGCAUCAUUAUUUGUAUGCUUUAUAAUAAUCCUCAGAGUUAGGCCUAUUUUAUAGAUGAGAAGACUGAGCCUCAAAUGUAACUUAGCCGAGGACUUAUAUACCUGCUAAGUUGCAGAACUGGUAUGUGCACCCAAUUAUCUAAGAAUCUAAAGCCCACAUGCUUUUGUCACACUACACUCUCUUUCUUUUGAAAUUUAUAAUCUGUUAUCAAGGAGGGAGAACUUAUAUAAAGUUCAGAGAAGGUAUAUACACUUAUACACACACAUACACACAUAUAUACAAAGUUCAAAGAAGGUGGAGAUGAGUACAAUAUAGACAAAUGUAAUUGAAGAAGUUUUUGAUUCUUAUGAGUAUUAUACAUAUUUUAGGGGAUCUGUGUUCUUUUCAAUGUCUAUGAAUUUGACCAUCUUUUCUUCUCACAUUCUUCCCCAUCCGUUCACCAGUGACUUCACUCUUCUGUGAAAGAUGAGAUAGAAACAGCUACUUUUCUCUAACAGCAUAAUUUAUCUAAUUGGUGUGAUAGCAAAAGAAUGAAAACUAUUGGCUUGCAAUAGGCAGAUUAAGAUGUGAAACGCUUGUGUCACUGGUUGCCCAAUGACUUUGCCCUUCACUGGGUGAAAAGUGAGGAGUAAGAGGAGGAAGAAUGAGAGGCACAUUUUUCUUCUUGGGUCCAAGGAAAUGCUCUAAUCCAGUUUUAAUGAAAUUUCUGUCUUAUCACUCUCUGACUUUUGAGUUCAUUUAUCAAUUUGUUAAUAACACAGAAAGAAGAAAUAUGUGAUUCUUUUGUAACAGGGUAGUCCAACAAUGAACAGCUUUGGGAAGGAUCUGGCUUCCCUGGGGAAAGUGUUGCUUCCUUAAAGAAUGCUCCCUGUCUAGUAAAUAAUUGUAACUUGGCAGUCACUCUCAAACUAUCAAUUUAACAAGUAAACUCACAUUUUCCUACUCUAUGCUGGUGGAUAUGAAUAAUCAGGAAGGAGACAUAGAUGCUGGACUUUUCCCCUAGAUGCUGGACUUUUCCCCUAGGAGAGAAAGAUUCAUUUAUGACCUGCUUUUUUUUUUGGAAAAGCAGAAGAAACCCAAAUUAUAAUCCAUAAGGUAUUCACCUGAGCACAUGCUGACUUCAUGCUUUCAGGAAUGAAAUGCCUAACUCACCGGAUCGACUUGGGUCAGAGAUACUGAUAAACCUCUCAUGCCUUGAAAUUGCAGUGGAAAGCAAGUUCAGCCACUUGCCGCUUGAGAAGCCGAAUACACAAGAGAUGGAAAAAGAGGGUGCUGGCAGAAGGAUCCCUGGUUGGGCAGCGACAUGCCAGUGUGUCCAGAGGAGUUCCCUGCCUGCCAGGAAUCUCAGCAGACACAGUGAUGUGAAGGAGCAAGACAAAAUGCCAGGUAGAGACCUACUUUAAAUAGUACUUAGAAAUAAAAAUCAUAAGAAAUGUUGAACCAUGCAGUGAUGAGAAUCACUUUUAUACCACCCAAAAUCCCUUUUCCUGAAAUCUCUAUCUGCUUGAUGAUACUGUCCACAUUAAAAUUUUUAAAUAUUUUACAAAGUACUUUCAUAAAAUAGCUAAACAAUCCUGAAAUCCAUCCUUCUCUUGCCAUCAUUGGUUUUCCUAAGGCUUUGAUAUCCUCUACUUCCAUUGUUGAUUCUCCUGUUUUCAUUUUUAAGUCAUUUUCUUUGGCCUUCUGCUCUUCCCGUUUUUCACAACUUUAAUUAUUGACAAUGAUUUCUGAAUCUCCCGUGAGCUCUGGUGUCACAUACUUGACACAAAGUACAGUUAAAAACUUCUUGAAUGAAUGAGUCACUCUCCAAUUGCCUGAUGAAAAUACCUACUUGGAGGUAUUUCAUCACCUUGAAGCCUGAAAACAACCUAUUGUCUUGUCCUUAAAAUAACUACCUUUUCUGAGAAUUUCUGUUAAUGGUAGUGAGAACCAACAUUUAUUGAGUGAUUAUCGCAUACCAGGCACUUUACAACAUAUUAUCUACUUCUCACAACUAUCCUAUGAAAUAGAUGGUGUAAUGAAGAAAUCAAGGACAAAAGCAGUGAGCAAGUUAAGGAAUAGAGAUAUGAACCCAGGUCAUCUAACUCAAACCAGUGCCUCUCCCAUCACACGUCAGGCUUAUCUGUUUAAGUCCCUUAACCACACUCAGUUCCGGUGGUUUUAACCUGUCAGGUAGAGGCCCAAAUAAUGACGAAUGAAGCCAGAAAAAAUAGAACCCAAACUGACAGGUUAUUAGGGAUGAACAAAAAGAAUUGAAAACUCAGUAAAAUCCAAGAAAAUACAUUCAUAACCCAAAAUAUAAAGAAUUAAAGAGAUUUUUGAAAUAGAGUCAAGAUUUGCUUAUUUGUUUGAAUCAAGUUCCAACAAUACAAAUAUUAACUUUGCUUGAUUUGGGUUGGAAUCUGAGUUGUCAGGACCAUUUCUCAGAUUCUACUGAGAAUGUAAAAGAGACUUAAAGAAGUAACACAGUCGACUAAUAUAUUUUAUUUAAAAAUUUACUUUUGAAGCCUAUAAAUGGAUAAAUUCCAAAAUACAGAAUAUUUAACAAUAUUUAAUAUUUUUUACUCAACAGUCUGCCUUUGUGUUUUUCUUUCCAUAAACAAAUACACUGGAUUAAAGCAAUAAUACUCUUAUCUUCAAGUUCAAUGCCUGAGUUUCUUGCAUACUAUUUCCAUUUAAAGUUCAGUAAUUACUUAACUUCACAUUAUUCUGUCACAAAUGAUAAAUGUGCUACCUAUGUAGUAAAAAUCAUAAAACUAUUAUAAGCCAAGUCAAGAGAAUUCAUAAAGUUAAUAUGAAAUAAUAACUAUACUGAUACACAUGUGCAAUGGGCCCUACCAGAAAUAUGCCAAAAUAACAAGUUUUAUUUAAAGAAUGAGGUCUUUGGGCAGAAAGAAAUGAGGGGUCAUUAUCA